RNAcentral lists this ribosomal RNA (253 nucleotides) under uncultured bacterium. RNAcentral's name for it is "partial 16S ribosomal RNA". It matches the Rfam family "Bacterial small subunit ribosomal RNA", at positions 524 to 776 of the family's 1533-position model. The record is from RNAcentral.
UACGAAGGGAGCUAGCGUUGUUCGGAAUCACUGGGCGUAAAGCGCACGUAGGCGGACGUGUCAGUCAGGGGUGAAAUCCCGGGGCUCAACCUCGGAACUGCCUUUGAUACUGACAAUCUCGAGUCCGGAAGAGGUGGGUGGAAUUCCUAGUGUAGAGGUGAAAUUCGUAGAUAUUAGGAAGAACACCAGUGGCGAAGGCGGCCCACUGGUCCGGUACUGACGCUGAGGUGCGAAAGCGUGGGGAGCAAACAGG